Molecule: ribosomal RNA, 495 nt
Filed under: uncultured bacterium
Lineage: Bacteria
Description: partial 16S ribosomal RNA
Rfam family: Bacterial small subunit ribosomal RNA
Source: RNAcentral
GACGAACGCUGGCGGCGUGCCUAAUACAUGCAAGUAGAGCGCUGAAGGAGGAGCUUGCUUCUCUGGAUGAGUUGCGAACGGGUGAGUAACGCGUAGGUAACCUGCCUGGUAGCGGGGGAUAACUAUUGGAAACGAUAGCUAAUACCGCAUAAUAGCAGUUGUUGCAUGAUAACUGUUUGAAAGGUGCAAUUGCACCACUACCAGAUGGACCUGCGUUGUAUUAGCUAGUUGGUGGGGUAACGGCUCACCAAGGCGACGAUACAUAGCCGACCUGAGAGGGUGAUCGGCCACACUGGGACUGAGACACGGCCCAGACUCCUACGGGAGGCAGCAGUAGGGAAUCUUCGGCAAUGGACGGAAGUCUGACCGAGCAACGCCACGUGAGUGAAGAAGGUUUUCGGAUCGUAAAGCUCUGUUGUAAGAGAAGAACGAGUGUGAGAGUGGAAAGUUCACACUGUGACGGUAUCUUACCAGAAAGGGACGGCUAACUACGUG